This 216-nucleotide non-coding RNA is filed under the name Acinetobacter populi. The record is from RNAcentral. Lineage: Bacteria; Pseudomonadati; Pseudomonadota; Gammaproteobacteria; Moraxellales; Moraxellaceae.
UUCGCAACAUCCACAACAAGUGCCGAGCAAUAUGCUCAAGGGAAACUGGUGUAAAUCCAGCACUGCCCCCGCAACGGUAACGAUGAAACAUCUAUUGUUUUCAGCUCAGAACUGACACCACUGCAUGAUAUAAAAAUGUGGGAAGGUGAAUAGAUCAAUUAUGUCUUGGCAUAAUUAUAUCGAAGUCCGGAGACCUGCUUGUUGUAUUUAUCCAUU